CUCCCCAGCCAGAGACCCCUCAGCCCAGGAGGAGUGAGGCCGGGCCAGCAGCGGGGGCCCGGGAAGCCCCAUGUCUUGGGACCUGCUGGGGCAGGGACCCCUGGAUGUCAGGCUGCAGGUCCGGCAGCUGGGGAGGGGAUGAGGGCCUCCCACCAGCUCUGCCCAUCAGCCAGAUCCCUGGGAGAGGCAGCACUUGCUGGCCACAGAGUCGGCCCCACUCUCACCUGCCUGCCUCCCCCACCAGCUGGGCCCUGCACCGCCCCAGCCCACGCGGCGCCUCACCCCUCCUGGACAGAACAGUAUCUCUGGGACUGACAAGUUAAUCCGAGACCCACAGUAGCCCUGGAUGCCCUGGGAGAGGUGGCUGCUCAGCUCCAGGGCCAGCUUGGAGGAGCCAACUUCAAAAGACUCCGCCUGGCCUGCCCCUCUGCAGUCCUCCAGGCAGCCUGUCCAGGGAAGCGGUUGGCUGGUGUUGGACCUGGUGCGGCAGUGCACACCCCGUCCGAGGACCCCAGGAUCAUGUGCAUGGCCUGCUGGCGGGAGUGAGGGAGGGCAAGACCCUGAAAGGCCCAUGGUGAGCAGCUGUGGGCCUCCUCUAGGGAGGGGGCUCACUUGGGUGGAGGGGCUGGGGGCACACACAGCUCAGGAGACACUGCUUGUUCCCCUGAGCCCCACCAGGAAAUCUCCGGUUGGCUCUGGUCACUGUGUCACUGUGGGUGGCAGUGGGUGCAUGUGCCCUGGCUUCUGGUAGUUGGGCGAGGGGGGCUUCUGGGUGCCGGGCCACCCAGUUCUAAGCUGGGCUGAGGCUUGAGCCCGGAAGUAGUACUAACAGGCCAGGUGGGACUCCCAGGGCAGCCAGUCUGCCCCACCUGGGUGGGACACAGCAGGUGCUGGACAUCCUUGCAGCUCCAGCUGGCCUGCUCAGCAGUCAGGCUCUGGUUCUCGCUAUGACCUCUGACCCAGAGCAGGCAGAGGGGAUGACGUGGCAAUUCUGAGCCCACCAAGUUGGCUGUGGCGUGUGUGGUUGGGGGGUCAGGCUUCAGGAAGGGGCCAUAGCAAGCCAUCUGCUCUUCCAGCCAUUGCUGCUUCGUGCUCUGAGCAGGAGCUGCCACCCCCCGCCAGGCCCCCAGCUCUAUGCAAGGGUUGGGGUGCUGCUUGGUCAGGCUCCCCUGCCAGGGCUGGGAAGCCGAGUCGAGUCCUCUUAUCUUGGUCGGGUUCGCAUGAUUAAUUUCCAGCCCUAGAUCUGCUGUCUGACUCCAUCCUGGGGGCCCAGGGGAAGGUUUGGGGCUGGCCCCUUUUGGGUGGCUGGGAACCUGGGGGCCGUCAGCUGUCUCCUUGAUGUUUGGGCUUUAUCCCUGCAGGAGCAGGCCCUCCACUUUGGGUCGGGGGAGGCCUGUGGCACAGGCUGCCUGGAGGGAUGGCGUGGGGCGGCUGGUACAGGCAGAGGGGCCUUUUGCAACUGUUGGUUGGGGCUGGCUGUGGUGGCUCCUUCCUCCUCUGUAGCUUCUGGGUGUCCCCCCAGCUUUCCCCUUCCAAUAGGGUGUGGCUUGGAGCUCUGAGCCCCUGCCCCAGUUGGGUUGGGGGUACAAGGAGUCCCCAGUUCCCAGGUCUCUGUGAGCUAAUCCAGAGGGAGUGUGGGAGGUGUGGAGUUGAAUGGGCAUGGCCAUGAGUGAGACAGGCUGUACUGGGACAACUUCCUACUGUACCCCCAAGAGCCUGCAGACCAGCCCCACUCGAGCUGUGCGGGGCCAGGGGGGCCCUGCUCUGUGCGGUCCUGAGGGUGCUCCACCCCUUGCUGGCCCCACUCCCACGUGGACCACAGAGCCAGGCUCUCCUGCCUCUGGGCCUGCCCCCUCUGUCUCCUGCUGGGUUCUUCGGGACUCAGUGACAUCGCCUCCCAGUCCACAUCACUCACCCCUUUCACAUCUUUGCAGGGAGCAUAGAGCUGUCUGGUUUGCAGACCUAUCUGUUGUCUCUCCUGAUUUAUCCCGCCAGGCCUGUGCCUACAGCCUUUCUUGAUUGGUGACAUGUCCAUUUAAUUCGCUCAGAGAUCCCAUGGGGUGGGGCAAGGGGUGGGGCUUCUACAGAAACAAAGUGCAGGUGGGCUGGCUGCUCCCUGUGCUGGGAACAUCCCCCAGGCCUAACCCCAACCUGCUGUCUCCUCCAGGUACCCCCCAAGCCUGCACUCUGGGCGCUCCUGCUGGCGCUGCUGGGGACCGCGCCAAGCCGCGCCUAUUCCCCGGCCUGCAGCGUCCCCGACGUGCUCCGCCACUAUCGCGCCAUCAUCUUCGAGGAUCUGCAGGCCGCCGUGAAGUGGGGCGGGGCGGGGGCCGAAAAGACCAGGCCAGGCUCCAGACACUUUCAUUUCAUACAGAAAAACCUGACUAGACCCGGGAGCUCGGGACGGCGGGGACGGCCUCGGGCCUCCUGUGGCGCCCAGAAGGGCCGCCGCGCGUCCCGGGGCUCCACGGCCCUAGGCUGAGGUCGGGCUGGGCCGCGCCUCCCUUCCGGGGCCAGGCCGGGCCGGGCGCGGGGGCCGUGCGCAUUCGCUGACCGCCCUGUCCCCGACAGCGGAGCCGGCGGCCCAAGAUGCGCCCUGCCCGGCGUCGCGGCGGUCGAAGGCAGCUCCUGCUGCGCGCCCUGGACGCCGUCGCCACCUGCUGGGAGAAGCUCUUCGCGCUGCGCGCCCCGGCCUCCAGGGGCUCCUAGCGCGGCCCGUCUUGGCCCUGCCUCCAGCGCCCUGCGCGGGGAGGAGAACCAGUGGGGCCUUCGGCAGAGCCUGGAGACGCGCCUCGUUUUUGUCGACAUGUUGGUGACCUCGGCCCCUCGCUCGACGCAGCCCGCGCUCCCCGGAGGGCCCAGGACUUGGAGAAGGGAGCGCGCCUGGCCGCCGCUGGGUCUCGGAGGAGGCCCGCCCUCCACGCGCCGAAGGCCUCAAUAAACGGAGCUGGCGCUGCGGGUCCGGCA
RNAcentral lists this small RNA (2967 nucleotides) under Pongo abelii (Sumatran orangutan). Its description in RNAcentral is "retained intron". Lineage: Eukaryota; Metazoa; Chordata; Mammalia; Primates; Hominidae. The record is from RNAcentral.